RNAcentral lists this ribosomal RNA (468 nucleotides) under uncultured Anaerolineaceae bacterium. RNAcentral describes it as "bacterial SSU rRNA". It matches the Rfam family "Bacterial small subunit ribosomal RNA", at positions 897 to 1382 of the family's 1533-position model. The record is from RNAcentral. Lineage: Bacteria; Bacillati; Chloroflexota; Anaerolineae; Anaerolineales; Anaerolineaceae.
AAACUCAAAUGAAUUGACGGGACCCGCACAAGCAGCGGAGCGUGUGGUUUAAUUCGUUGCUACACGAAGAACCUUACCUGGGUUUGACACAUAGGUUGUAGGGAACUGAAAAGGGACCGACCUUCGGGAGCCUAUACAGGUGUUGCAUGGCUGUCGUCAGCUCGUGUCGUGAGAUGUUCGGUUAAGUCCGCUAACGAGCGCAACCCUCGUCGUAUGUUAUAUGUGUCAUACGAGACUGCCGGUAAAAGCCGGAGGAAGGUGAGGAUGAUGUCAAGUCAGCAUGACCUUUAUAUCCAGGGCUACACACACGCUACAAUGGUCUGUACAAUGGGUAGCCAAGCCGCGAGGCGGAGCCAAUCCUGAAAGCAGGCCUCAGUUCAGAUUGCAGUCUGCAACUCGACUGCAUGAAGCCGGAGUUGCUAGUAACCGCAGGUCAGCAAUACUGCGGUGAAUACGUUCCCGGGUCUU